This 270-nucleotide ribosomal RNA is filed under the name uncultured archaeon. RNAcentral describes it as "partial 16S ribosomal RNA". It matches the Rfam family "Archaeal small subunit ribosomal RNA", at positions 477 to 747 of the family's 1478-position model. The record is from RNAcentral.
CUGCAGCCCGAGUGGUGAUCGAUUUUAUUGAGCCUAAAGCGUCCGUAGCCGGACUAGUAAACCCUUGGGUAAAUUGGGCAGCUUAACUGUCCAAAUUCCGAGGGGACUGCUAGUCUUGGGACCGGGAGAGGUCAGAGGUACUCAAGGGGUAGGGGCUAAAUCCUGUAAUCCUUUGGGGACCACCAGUGGCGAAGGCGUCUGACUAGAACGGAUCCGACGGUGAGGGACGAAAGCCAGGGGAGCAAACCGGAUUAGAUACCCGAGUAGUCC